AUUGAACGCUGGCGGCAGGCCUAACACAUGCAAGUCGAACGGUAACAGGAAGAAGCUUGCUUCUUUGCUGACGAGUGGCGGACGGGUGAGUAAUGUCUGGGAAACUGCCUGAUGGAGGGGGAUAACUACUGGAAACGGUAGCUAAUACCGCAUAAUGUCGCAAGACCAAAGAGGGGGACCUUCGGGCCUCUUGCCAUCGGAUGUGCCCAGAUGGGAUUAGCUAGUAGGUGGGGUAACGGCUCACCUAGGCGACGAUCCCUAGCUGGUCUGAGAGGAUGACCAGCCACACUGGAACUGAGACACGGUCCAGACUCCUACGGGAGGCAGCAGUGGGGAAUAUUGCACAAUGGGCGCAAGCCUGAUGCAGCUAUGCCGCGUGUAUGAAGAAGGCCUUCGGGUUGUAAAGUACUUUCAGCGGGGAGGAAGGGAGUAAAGUUAAUACCUGUGCUCAUUGACGUUACCCGCAGAAGAAGCACCGGCUAACUCCGUG
RNAcentral lists this ribosomal RNA (490 nucleotides) under uncultured bacterium. RNAcentral's name for it is "partial 16S ribosomal RNA". It matches the Rfam family "Bacterial small subunit ribosomal RNA", at positions 30 to 507 of the family's 1533-position model. The record is from RNAcentral.